GAGCCGCGGUGCAGACUGGGAGCAGGCGGCUGGCGCCAUUUUGGGAGCGCGGGGGGGAACGAUGUUGUCGAACGCGCAGCUUCUGGAUGAGUUGAUGGGCCGUGACCGUAACCUGGCCCCGGACGAGAAACGCCAGAAUGUCCGGUGGGACGAUGAGAGUGUAUGUAAAUAUUUCCUGUGUGGAUUCUGUCCAGCUGAGUUAUUUACGAACACACGCUCUGACCUGGGUCCCUGUGAGAAGAUUCAUGAUGACAAUCUGCGGAAAUACUAUGAGAAGAGCUCCCGUUUUAUGAAAGUGGGUUAUGAGAAAGACUUCCUGCGUUAUCUGCAAAACCUGAUGGCUGAUGUUGAGCGGCGGAUCCGUCGAGGUCAUGCUCGGUUGGCACUAUCCCAGAACACGACAACUGGAACAGCGACUGGAGGGCCUGUGAGUAAGAAUGAAGAGAAGGGUCAGGUUUUAACAGAGAAAAUAGAAGAACUCCUGGAACAGAUUGAGGAGCUGGGCUCUGAGGGGAAGGUGGAAGAGGCCCAGGGUAUGAUGAAACUUGUCGAACAGCUGAAAGAUGAGCGAGAGCAACUGCGAUCUGCCAGCUCGACCAUCGAGAGCUUUGCGGCCCAGGAGAAGCAGAUGGAGGUAUGUGAAGUGUGCGGUGCAUUCCUCAUCGUAGGAGAUGCACAGUCCAGGGUGGAUGAUCACUUAAUGGGGAAGCAGCACAUGGGCUAUGCGAAGAUCAAAGCAACCGUGGAGGAGCUAAAGGAGAAGGUUCGGAAGAAGACUGAAGAACCAGAACGUGAUGACAAAUUAAAACGCGAGAGGGAAGAACGGGAGCUGGAGCGAGAGCGUGAGCGGGAGGAGAGGGAGAAGAAACGGCGGCGGGAAGAGGAGGAGAAAGAGCGAGAGAGGGAGGCACGGCGUAGGAGGAGCCACUCGCGGAGCCGGCAUUCCCAUUCUAGCCGGGCGUCUGACAGAAGGCGAAGCAGGUCGCGUGAACGCAAGCGGUCACGCAGUAAGGAACGUGAAAAGAAACGCACCAGGGGUGAGGAUCGGCGGAGCAGAGACCGCUCUGAGAGAAGCAGAGACCGAUCAGAAAGGAAACACCGAUCCCGGAGUCGGGAUCGGCGCCGAUCACGAAGUCGGGAUGUCAGGUCACACAAGCACAGAAGCAGGAGCAGAGAGAAAGAGAGGAGGUCAAAGGACAAAGAAAGGAGAGACUCUGAUGAAAUGAGGAAAAGCAGUCGGAAACCCAGUCAGACAGACCGAGAGUGUGUAGAGGUUCGGCCAGACGCCAUGGAAGUGGACGCCACUAAAAGCGAGGUCAAUGGGAGAGAUGAAGACCUAAAAUCUGAAGGUGACACUCAGUCCAAUUAAAACUGAUCUGAUUUGACCUCAGAUCAGACCAAGGUUAGAGCUGUAGCCAGUCGUUAGCAGAAACCCCAGAAGACAAGUGCUCUGUGUAGGGCAGUAGGAAGUCUCCAAGAGGCGUGGCCAUUUUUGAAGAUGUCAAGGAAUCCCCGUUGAAGAUUCGACUGCUCGACCUGAAGUCUCUGCCCAGUUAAAACAAGGUGAAAGAAAGCUGUAGUGGUGUAGGGAGAGGGAAAGAGUGAGAGAAAUUGUAAUUUAAGCAAAAAAAUUCAUUUCAGAACUUUUAUGUACAAUUAGCUGCCCAAAGAAGUUCCCAUUUCUUGUGCUUGCAAUACUCUUUUUCACUAACAGUGAACUCGAGUCCUGUUUUUUCCACAAGUGUCAGACUAAAGUGAGCAGCACCCAAACCAUGUGACCUGCAAAUGUGUACCCGGUUUCCUUGACGUUUACAUUUCUUGGCAAACUGCUAUCUGUAAAUACACAGGCCACAAAGUUGUAUAGAGCUGUUUUGAUUAAGAGGCUGAUUUUUACCAUGCUCCUGUCGCCACUAUCCUUUUUUUUUUGUUUUUUGUAGUAUUAGGCUGCCUGCCUCUUUCUCAGUUUCCCAUCCAGCUGUGAGGACGAGUGUUUUUCCCUGCCCUGCUGUUCCUGUAUUUUGAAAAUGGUUGCUGUAAUUUGCAAAUUUUAGUGUUGAGUAUGAAUAAAUUUUUUUUCAGUAAA
This is an RNA transcript of Chiloscyllium plagiosum (whitespotted bambooshark), 2083 nucleotides long. It is a transcript of the gene named LUC7-like 3 pre-mRNA splicing factor, with no coding region annotated. The record is from RefSeq and is a predicted model, not a curated record. NCBI's taxonomy places the organism in Eukaryota, Metazoa, Chordata, Chondrichthyes, Orectolobiformes, Hemiscylliidae.